This 72-nucleotide transfer RNA is filed under the name Marmota monax (woodchuck). Its description in RNAcentral is "tRNA.Ala". Lineage: Eukaryota; Metazoa; Chordata; Mammalia; Rodentia; Sciuridae. The record is from RNAcentral.
UGAAGAUGUGGCUCAGAGGUAGAGCACUUGCCUGGCAUGCAUGAGGUCCUGAUUCAAUUCCCAACACUGCAA